GAUUUUUUCAUUUCAGUCGAUAACGAUAUAUAUCACGAUAUAAGCCAAAUAACUAUAUUUGUAAGAUUUAAAUGUGCCGUUGCUCACAAGUAAAAUGUGAAAUAAUCAGCAGCUUGUUUUUAUUUAAAUAUUUAUUUCCCAUAAUAAGUUCAACAGGGUAGAUGUACUUAAGGAACAUGAGACUUUUUCAGAUAAAUAAAGGCAAAUAUUGCAAACUACACAAAAGGCAGCCGCUAAAGCGUUUAAGUUUCAAAAUAGAACAAACAAAACAGACUAAAUUGUCAAUUCCACUUAGAAACAAAAUAUUAAUUCUAAAAAAAAAUCUUAGUUUGUUUUACAGAAGAACAGACAAAACUGACUAACUUUUGUCAAUAUCAAAUAAACUGAGAACUAAAAGGAAAUUCUCAAUCUCUCCUUGUUGUAUAGCUUAGCUUUUCAAACAGUUUUAACAGUUACUUUAGUCUGACAAAAGCCGAAUGAUGAAUUAGCGCUUCCAGUCAGAGACUGAGGCUACGUCCACACGUACACGGGUAUUUUUGAAAACGGAGAUUUUCCGUUUUCGUUUUAAAAAAGAAUCCCGUCCACACAUAAAGGCAGAAAUGAAGGAAAACGCUGCUAUGAACAUGCCAAAGCAGCAGGUGGCGCUAGAUUCCUAACCGUGCAGAAAUGUUGGCCAAUCAGAAGUCUAGAAGCCUCGGUGGGAAAAAGUAAACAAAGCUGGGGCAUAGAAGCAGAACCGAGUCGUAUGUGUGGAGGGACAGUAACUGUGUGUAUGUGUAAGCAUUUAAACACUGCAGAGAGUAGAAUUAACAGUAACAGUAUUGUAGAAAUUCAUUUCACCGAAACAAUAACGUGGCGCACAGUGUGACGCAUGCACCAGUUUAUUGUAUUUCCAGACUUGCUUUCGGCACAAUUUACAGUGCACGCUACUCUGUUUUUUGUCAGACUUGAAAUAGCCAAAAUACCUUCACACUACGGAACUUCUAUGGCUCUUCCGUUCGACAAUCUCUCCGGCAUUGGAACCAUCAUCUGUUUUCUCUUCGGUCAUGCUCGGUUGAUUUUUCUAGUCGGCACACUCAUUUCCUCCAUUACGCGCUGGCUGCUUCCCAAACAAACACACGUGCGGCUUGGUACUUGUGCUGUACGUAACAAGUCACGCGACGUGACGCUGCGGCUGUGAUUGGUUCGGCUCUGCGCUACUUAAUUUGGAUUGGCUGACCCUUUUUUUUUUUUUUUUUUUUUAAGAGGACAAGAGCGGCGAGGUCUAUCGCGAUAGCUUAAUUUCUCUAUCGAGUAAAAGUUAUAUCGCGAUACAUAUCGUUAUCGUUCUAUCGCCCAGCUCUACUGUCUACUCUGUAUAAAAUGUGAACAUUAUCGCUUGCCUUCAACAACUUGAAAAGGACAAAAUCAUUGAGUGCCCUACAUAUAACCGUCUAUACCCAGGAAAUGCU
Molecule: long non-coding RNA, 1451 nt
Organism: Astatotilapia calliptera (eastern happy)
Lineage: Eukaryota; Metazoa; Chordata; Actinopteri; Cichliformes; Cichlidae
Source: Ensembl